RNAcentral lists this transfer RNA (71 nucleotides) under Rhinatrema bivittatum (two-lined caecilian). RNAcentral describes it as "tRNA-Ser". It matches the Rfam family "tRNA". From Rfam's summary of the family: Transfer RNA (tRNA) molecules are approximately 80 nucleotides in length. Their secondary structure includes four short double-helical elements and three loops (D, anti-codon, and T loops). Further hydrogen bonds mediate the characteristic L-shaped molecular structure. tRNAs have two regions of fundamental functional importance: the anti-codon, which is responsible for specific mRNA codon recognition, and the 3' end, to which the tRNAs corresponding amino acid is attached (by aminoacyl-tRNA synthetases). tRNAs cope with the degeneracy of the genetic code in two manners: having more than one tRNA (with a specific anti-codon) for a particular amino acid; and 'wobble' base-pairing, i.e. permitting non-standard base-pairing at the 3rd anti-codon position. The record is from RNAcentral. Lineage: Eukaryota; Metazoa; Chordata; Amphibia; Gymnophiona; Rhinatrematidae.
AAAAAGAUGGCAGAUUGGGUAUGUAGUUGGCUUGAAACCAGCCUAUGUGGGUUCGAUUCCUACUCUUUUUG